This 1772-nucleotide long non-coding RNA is filed under the name Apteryx rowi (Okarito brown kiwi). Its description in RNAcentral is "lncRNA (ENSARWG00000018820.1)". Lineage: Eukaryota; Metazoa; Chordata; Aves; Apterygiformes; Apterygidae. The record is from RNAcentral.
AAUUGUUGUUUUCAACAGACUACAGCUUGACAUUUGGUACAUAAGCAGGUAGCCGUGUUUGACGAUGAGUUUUGUAAUCACAUUUAAUUUCAUUUUAUCUGUGAAUUUAUACCCCCUUAGAACAAAUUCAUUUCUCAAUGGGACUAGCAGUAAGUGGGAGGUACACUGAGUGACCUGGAGUUUGUGUAUCUGUUGCAACAGUGAUAAAGACAUUGCCCCCUCCCCAGGAUCCAAGGAUCUCCUUCUACAGUGCCCAUACUCUCUUCAUUUCUAUAUUGCAUCUGAUCAUUUUGCAGCGAUACAAUAAUAGUCAUUACUGACUAUUACACGAGUGAUCGUUUUUAGCCAUCUGAGUUACAUGACAUGGUGGCGAAAAUGUCAAUGGCUGCGUACCAAGAGCUCUUGUUGUUGGAGUCAUGCUGUAUUCUGGAAAAAUCUUGUGCAGAAAAUCCAGCGCGGUGUCGUUACCAGCUUGUGAUACAGACACAGCCGUCUGCUUGGAAAUCUGAAUUAAUCAGAUAUAAGUUAGAGAAAGCUUCCGAAAUCUAAACAGAUGAAGACCAAUUGAUAAAUCAACCCAGUGAUUCACCAUACUUUCAAGACUCUGGUCCUGUGAACACUUUCUACUUAUGCUCAGAUCUAAGAUGAAGAGUCAUUCCACUGUUUUGGGAAACUAAAGUACAGUUAAGAACAUGUAUAGCUGAAAGAUUAGGGCCAAGCUGAGAAGUUGAUAGCCUUCGUUAAUCCUGCUACAAAUGUCUACAGUAGAAGUCGUUAUUGCUAUCUUUAUCUAAAGCUCAUGUUGUUUGCCUUUUUAUUUUUUCAAGGAGUUAAAUUAGACUUACAGUAAUCAAGUGAGGAAAAAAUACCACUCAGUAUUCUGUGUUAGGUUCAUAGUUUUACAAGAAACAUUCUGAUUAUGACAUAAAUAUAUCAGUUGGGUGGAAGACUGAAACUGUUUUCAUAAUUAUAGCCUAUCCUAUCCCAUCUGACUACUGUCUAGCAGGUUUGUAUUUUAAAAUCUUUUAUAUGCAUAAUUUUGGAAAGGAAUAUCCAUAUUGGGAUGGAGUUCCACACAUUGCAAGUUCUGUUUCAGUGGAGAUACAGUGAUGCCUAACUAAGCCUGCAUGUACGCCUUUGCAGGAUUGGGAUGGGGUAGUCUAAACAAAUUUGUCUACUAUUUUGAUUUUUGCUGUCUAGUUUUGCGUGUGUGUGUGUGUGUGUGUGUGUGUGUGACCUGUAACCUGCUCAGAGCAGUUCUGCUGGAGACUUGAGUCCACACUCUUAAGCGCGUGCAGAGGUCAUGCUCGUAUCACUGCCCACAGAGCAGACAGGGCACCAGGCUUGCUUACAUCUUUAGUUGUUCAGUGAGGGUAAUAUAACUGACAGUGGCAUCAAGUAUGGACAGAAAUCUUUGCAGAUCAGGGCCUGUGACUUUAAUUUGACGUUGCUACUUGGACACCAGAGAGAAAAUCCUGUAAUUAAAAAGUCUGGUUUUGGAGUUAGUUUAUGUACAAAACUUGAUUUUGCAAAAUUUAAUAACUUUGUUAUUAACAAUUUUCAGACACAGAAGUAUUUUUACCAAUAUUUAUCCCUUUUAAUACUGCUCAAUGUCAUCCCUAAGUGUAGGCAACAAAUGAUGCUGCCUGAAAAGAAAUGUGGAAUUACACAGAUAUGAAAAUCAGGUUAUGAAUAUAAGGAGGGCUGUGUGCGUGCGUGGUGGGGGGUUCUCCAAAAAUAAAAGUGGUGGAAACAAAGUGAAAUGGAUUUAG